Molecule: ribosomal RNA, 486 nt
Filed under: uncultured bacterium
Lineage: Bacteria
Description: bacterial SSU rRNA
Rfam family: Bacterial small subunit ribosomal RNA
Source: RNAcentral
UAGUCCACGCCGUAAACUAUGGUCACUCGCUGCAGGCGAUACACGGUCUGUGGCUGAGCGAAAGCAUUAAGUGACCCACCUGGGGAGUACGUUCGCAAGAAUGAAACUCAAAGGAAUUGACGGGGGCCCGCACAAGCGGUGGAGCAUGUGGUUUAAUUCGAUGAUACGCGAGGAACCUUACCAAGGCUUAAAUGUAGAGUGACCGGUCUGGAAACAGACCUUUCUUCGGACAGUCUACAAGGUGCUGCAUGGUUGUCGUCAGCUCGUGCUGUGAAGUGUCGGGUUAAGUCCGAUAACGAGCGCAACCCACGUCGUCAGUUACAAGUGUCUGGCGAGACUGCCGGUGAUAAGCCGGAGGAAGGUGUGGAUGACGUCAAGUCAGCAUGGCCUUUAUGGUCCGGGCUACACACACGCUACAAUGGUCGAUACAAUGGGUAGCGAAGCCGCGAGGUGAAGCCAAUCUCUCAAAGUCGAUCUCAGUUCGGA